AAGUCGUAACAAGGUUUCCGUAGGUGAACCUGCGGAAGGAUCAUUAACGCAUCUCGGGGCGUCCGUUUCCGAGGGCCCCGCUCCGACCGCGAGGCCGUGCAGCGGGCUUUCGGCGACCCCCAACCCUUCACAAACCCACCGUGCACCUUUGCGGGAGAGGCUCCCCGGGCGAGAGCCCGGUCGGCCGAACCCGCCUCCAAAAACGCUAGUUUACAAAGAAUGUGUUGCGGCCUUUUGGCGUCGCCUAAUGACAUGACAACUUUCAACAACGGAUCUCUUGGCUCUC
RNAcentral lists this unclassified non-coding RNA (286 nucleotides) under air metagenome. Its description in RNAcentral is "partial contains small subunit ribosomal RNA, internal transcribed spacer 1, and 5.8S ribosomal RNA". The stretch from base 1 to 46 matches the Rfam family "Eukaryotic small subunit ribosomal RNA", at positions 1786 to 1831 of the family's 1831-position model. The record is from RNAcentral.